UGAGGAAUAUUGGACAAUGGGCGAGAGCCUGAUCCAGCCAUGCCGCGUGCAGGAAGACUGCCCUAUGGGUUGUAAACUGCUUUUAUACAGGAAGAAACACUCCCUCGUGAGGGAGCUUGACGGUACUGUAAGAAUAAGGAUCGGCUAACUCCGUGCCAGCAGCCGCGGUAAUACGGAGGAUCCAAGCGUUAUCCGGAAUCAUUGGGUUUAAAGGGUCCGUAGGUGGAUAAUUAAGUCAGAGGUGAAAUCUUGCAGCUCUACUGUAAAAUUGCCUUUGAUACUGGUUAUCUUGAGUUAUUAUGAAGUAGUUAGAAUAUGUAGUGUAGCGGUGAAAUGCAUAGAUAUUACAUAGAAUACCAAUUGCGAAGGCAGAUUACUAAUAAUCAACUGACACUGAUGGACGAAAGCGUGGGUAGCGAACA
RNAcentral lists this ribosomal RNA (422 nucleotides) under uncultured bacterium. RNAcentral describes it as "bacterial SSU rRNA". It matches the Rfam family "Bacterial small subunit ribosomal RNA", at positions 355 to 774 of the family's 1533-position model. The record is from RNAcentral.